UCCAAUCGACCCUCGGCGAGUAGAGUAAAAAUGGGACAACUGCAUUAAGAAACAAAGAUCAAAUUAGAAACACAAGCCAGACAAAAUCAAAUAAUAAAGCAUAGGUACUCCCACAAAAGUAACGUAGAUAGUUAUGAAAACAUAAGCAACUUAAAUACAUAAAUACAGUCGCAUGCAGUAAUAUCAAGCAGUAACUACCAUACUAAAACACUAAUCACCUAUGAGCCCCCCUAACCUACAAUCUUGAUUCUAGACCUCCAGACUCC
This 266-nucleotide long non-coding RNA is filed under the name Nicotiana benthamiana. RNAcentral's name for it is "long non-coding RNA (NBEN_LNC038089)". The record is from RNAcentral. Lineage: Eukaryota; Viridiplantae; Streptophyta; Magnoliopsida; Solanales; Solanaceae.